Molecule: ribosomal RNA, 170 nt
Filed under: uncultured bacterium
Lineage: Bacteria
Description: partial 16S ribosomal RNA
Rfam family: Bacterial small subunit ribosomal RNA
Source: RNAcentral
UCGCCAGUAAUCGCGGAUCAGAAUGCCGCGGUGAAUACGUUCCCGGGUCUUGUACACACCGCCCGUCACACCAUGGGAGUCGGAAAUGCCCGAAGCCGGUGACCUAACCUUUCAGGAAGGAGCCGUCGAAGGCAGGUCUGAUAACUGGGGUGAAGUCGUAACAAGGUACC